AAACCAACAGGGAUUGCCUCAGUAACGGCGAGUGAAGCGGCAACAGCUCAAAUUUGAAAUCUGGCCUUCGGGUCCGAAUUGUAAUUUGUAGAGGAAGCUUUUGGUGAGGUACCUUCCGAGUUCCUUGGAACAGGACGCCUUAGAGGGUGAGAGCCCCGUACGGUUGGAUGCCAAACCUUUGUAUAGCUCCUUCGACGAGUCGAGUAGUUUGGGAAUGCUGCUCUAAAUGGGAGGUAAAUUUCUUCUAAAGCUAAAUACCGGCCAGAGACCGAUAGCGCACAAGUAGAGUGAUCGAAAGAUGAAAAGCACUUUGAAAAGAGGGUUAAAUAGUACGUGAAAUUGUUGAAAGGGAAGGGUUUAUGACCAGACCUUUGCCUUGCGGAUCAUCCGGUGUUCUCACCGGUGCACUUCGCUUGGUUUAGGCCAGCAUCGAUUCUGGUAGGGGGAUAAAGGCUUUGGGAAUGUGACUCUUCGGAGUGUUAUAGCCCUUUGCGUAAUACCUUUACUGGGAUCGAGGACCGCGCUUUUGCAAGGAUGCUGGCAUAAUGGUCAUCAACCAC
This 560-nucleotide ribosomal RNA is filed under the name uncultured fungus. RNAcentral's name for it is "eukaryotic LSU rRNA". It matches the Rfam family "Eukaryotic large subunit ribosomal RNA", at positions 62 to 648 of the family's 3401-position model. Lineage: Eukaryota; Fungi. The record is from RNAcentral.